UAGUGCUCAGAGCCAUUUGAAUCCAUUUGGAACGAUACAGAGAAGAUUAGCAUGGCCCCUGCGCAAGGAUGACGCGCAAAAUCGUGAAGCGUUCCACAUUUUU
Molecule: small nuclear RNA, 103 nt
Organism: Schistocerca americana (American grasshopper)
Lineage: Eukaryota; Metazoa; Arthropoda; Insecta; Orthoptera; Acrididae
Source: RefSeq, a predicted model, not a curated record